RNAcentral lists this long non-coding RNA (202 nucleotides) under Ananas comosus (pineapple). Its description in RNAcentral is "long non-coding RNA (ACOM_LNC002749)". The record is from RNAcentral. Lineage: Eukaryota; Viridiplantae; Streptophyta; Magnoliopsida; Poales; Bromeliaceae.
AUAAUUGAAGAGUUAGAUUCUUUCUUUUCUUUUUUUUUGAGAAAAGGUAGCACACUACCUGCUUCAUUCAUUAAAAAAGUUGAAUUAAGCAUACAAGGUGGAAGCAGCCGAGGCCUCCAGAAAAAGCGAGAUAAAACAGAGCAGUAGGGGAAAAGAGAGAAAAGGAAAGAAAAGAAGAAGUCACACCGCCGAAAGUCCAGUG